Molecule: long non-coding RNA, 801 nt
Organism: Hyalella azteca
Lineage: Eukaryota; Metazoa; Arthropoda; Malacostraca; Amphipoda; Hyalellidae
Exons: 2
Source: RefSeq, a predicted model, not a curated record
CCGCGUCUGGGCGCGUGGUAUGGGGCGAGGGCGGCCGCCCCCCGUCUCCUGCAGGAGGCCGGCAUCACGCGGCAGGAAUACUUCGAGGCGGGCGGGGAGCGCGCUCGGCAACACUUCCUCGGCAACCCGCACUGGAGUCUCGUGGCCAGCGAAGACCUCAAGGAAGGCGGAGAGUCACUGCCUGACGCUGCCACCCAAGCCUAAGCAAGUCCUAAUUAAGUCUUGGCAAGUCCUAAGUCUAAGCCUAAGCAAGUCCUAAGUCUUGGCAAGUCCUAAGUCCAAGCCUAAGCAAGUCCUAAUGCAGGGACUCUGCAUUUAAUUCUUGUGUACAAAAUACGAGAUAUUAAUACGAGAAUUGUUACAAUGGCCUGAGAGUCGUGUACGUGUCGUAGGUUUAGUUAAUUAAAAUAAAGUUCAAUCAUUUUAAUUCGUGAUUGAAUUCAUUGUUGAAAUGUAGCAUUCCCGAGCAUCUGACAGUCAAUGAGUAAGAUGUUGAUUUUUGUCUUGGUUAUUAAAGUUAUUAUGAUGCUCCCCUGGAUAUUGAAACUCAAAUUGUAUAAAAUAAUUUAAUAAAUACUAUUGAAGAAUUUUUUUCAUAUAUACAAUUGCACCACAAACACUUCAGGCGAACACAUUCAGGAUCUUUUGAAGCGGUAACUAUAAUAUAAUGAAUGUUUUGGGUCAUACAAAUACGGCGGCCUAACGUUUAAUUUUAAUAUAUUCAAAAAAUAGUUUUGAAAGCUUGCCGUUCUAUUGUGCCAAGCUUGUGCAGGAAACAUGAAAUAUAUUAAAUUAUUCCUU